GUGCCAGCCGCCGCGGUAAGACGUAGGGGGCGAGCGUUGUCCGGAAUUACUGGGCGUAAAGAGCACGUAGGCGGGAACUUAAGUCAGGUGUGAAAGACCGGGGCUCAACUCCGGGGUGGCACUUGAAACUGGGUUUCUUGAGGGCAGGAGAGGAAAGCAGAAUUCCUGGUGUAGCGGUGAAAUGCGUAGAAAUCAGGAGGAAUACUAGUGGCGAAGGCGGCUUUCUGGACUGACCCUGACGCUGAGGUGCGAAAGCGUGGGCAGCAAACAGGAUUAGAUACCCUGGUAGUCCACGCCGUAAACGAUGGAUACUAGGUGUGGGAGGUAUCGACCCCUUCCGUGCCGCAGCUAACGCAAUAAGUAUCCCGCCUGGGGAGUACGGUCGCAAGGCUGAA
RNAcentral lists this ribosomal RNA (395 nucleotides) under uncultured bacterium. RNAcentral's name for it is "bacterial SSU rRNA". It matches the Rfam family "Bacterial small subunit ribosomal RNA", at positions 505 to 898 of the family's 1533-position model. The record is from RNAcentral.